Molecule: small RNA, 914 nt
Filed under: uncultured bacterium
Lineage: Bacteria
Description: bacterial SSU rRNA
Rfam family: Bacterial small subunit ribosomal RNA (bases 1-408)
Source: RNAcentral
GCAUUAAGUUGGGCACUCUAGAGAGACUGCCUGGGCUACCAGGAGGAAGGUGGGGAUGACGUCAAGUCCUCAUGGCCNUUAUGUCCAGGGCUACACACGUAAUACAAUGGUGCAUACAGAGGGACGCGACCCUGCGAAGGUGAGCAAAUCUCAAAAAGUGCAUCUCAGUCCGGAUUGGAGUCUGCAACUCGACUCCAUGAAGUUGGAAUCGCUAGUAAUCGUGGAUCAGCACGCCACGGUGAAUACGUUCCCGGGCCUUGUACACACCGCCCGUCACACCACGGGAGUUGAUCUUACCUGAAGCCGUGACCCUAACUUCGGAAGGGAGCGUCUACGGUCGGAUCGAUGACUGGGGUGAAGUCGUAACAAGGUAGCCCUAGGGGAACCUGGGGCUGGAUCACCUCCUUUUAAUGGUUUUUGACCAGAGUCUUCACUGGAGUAAUUCAGUGAAAAACCUGCUCUGGCUAGAUCAGGUCAAACUGAGACGAGUUUCUCAGUAAUUUCCGUCUUAAAGUCUCUUCUUCUUUUUUUAUUUUUUGUGUGAGUGACUCAUCGAAGUCGAUUGGGUGUAUAGCUCAGCUGGUUAGAGUACGUCCCUGAUAAGGACGGGGUCCCUGGUUCGAGUCCAGGUACACCCACCAUUCAAAAAAUUUAAAGUUCUUCUAAAUAAAAUUGAAUUUUCAAAUUUCUGGAAUGAGGUCUUCUUCUGAAGCUUCGUUUUGGUGAUUUGAAAAUUUGCUAUUUCGAAAAUUAAAUAACGGUUUAAGAAAGUAGACGAGAAAUCCAUACAGUAAAUUAGAAUUCUUCUCAUUUAUUAGUUAGAGGUAAAAAGUUACUAAGGGUGUAUGGUGGAUAUCUUGGCAGUAAGAGGCGAUGAAGGACGUAUGUUAAGUUGCGAUAACUUCGGGGAGUCA